This 458-nucleotide ribosomal RNA is filed under the name uncultured bacterium. RNAcentral's name for it is "partial 16S ribosomal RNA". It matches the Rfam family "Bacterial small subunit ribosomal RNA", at positions 29 to 523 of the family's 1533-position model. The record is from RNAcentral.
AACGAACGCUGGCGGCAGGCUUAAUACAUGCAAGUCGAACGUGAAAGUCCUUCGGGAUGAGUAAAGUGGCGCACGGGUGAGUGACACAUGGGAACGUACCCUAGGGUGGGGGAUAACUACGGGAAACUGUAGCUAAUACCGCAUAAUGUCUUCGGACCAAAGAUUUAUCGCCUUAGGAUCAGCCCGCGUUGGAUUAGCUUGUUGGUGGGGUAAUGGCCUACCAAGGCGACGAUCCAUAGCUGGUCUGAGAGGAUGAUCAGCUACACUGGAACUGAGACACGGUCCAGACUCCUACGGGAGGCAGCAGUAGGGAAUAUUGGGCAAUGGGCGAAAGCCUGACCCAGCCAUGCCGCGUGAAUGAUGAAGGCCUUAGGGUUGUAAAGUUCUUUCGCCGAUGAAGACAAUGACGGUAGUCGGAUAAGAAGCCCCGGCUAACUUCGUGCCAGCCGCCGCCGUAA